CUUUUCUCAAGCUUACAGGAAAGGAGCAAACGUGCGUGGCUACUUCGUAUGGAGUAUCAUCGACAGCUUCGAGUGGACUUACGGUUUCACGGUAAAGUUCGGGCUGUAUCAUGUGGAUUAUGAAACGCAGAAGAGGACUCCAAAGAUGUCGGCGAAGUGGUACCGUGACUUCCUCAUGGGCUCUAGGCCGACCAACCAAGUGCAGACGCCCAGAGCAGAUUCGUGAUAGUUGCAGCCAUUACUGUGAGAUCCAGUUACCCGUAAAAAGAAACUCCAAGAAUUCUGCGCCUCGACAAUACUCUCAACGCGUCCUCAGUUUGACAGUGGAGUGAUGGCGGAACAUCGCUUAAUAGUUUACCUUUGUUUCUCUAAACAUUUCAUAUGUACAGUUACUUCUAGAAUGGCCACUCAGUUCAAAGAAGUGCUAAGUGCUCCGCUGUUCCUUGAAACUUCACAUUCGGAGCACUAGGAGACGACGUUGUUUGUUCUAGUGUUUUGGAUCUUCGG
Molecule: ribosomal RNA, 507 nt
Filed under: Triticum aestivum (bread wheat)
Lineage: Eukaryota; Viridiplantae; Streptophyta; Magnoliopsida; Poales; Poaceae
Description: partial small subunit ribosomal RNA
Source: RNAcentral